RNAcentral lists this ribosomal RNA (797 nucleotides) under uncultured bacterium. RNAcentral's name for it is "bacterial SSU rRNA". It matches the Rfam family "Bacterial small subunit ribosomal RNA", at positions 1 to 802 of the family's 1533-position model. The record is from RNAcentral.
UAGAGUUUGAUCAUGGCUCAGGACCAACGCUGGCGGCGUGCUUAACACAUGCAAGUCGAACGGAGCACCCCUGAAGGAGUUUUCGGACAACGGAAGGGAAUGCUUAGUGGCGGACUGGUGAGUAACGCGUGAGGAACCUGCCUUUCAGAGGGGGACAACAGUUGGAAACGACUGCUAAUACCGCAUGAUGUAUCGGGGUCGCAUGGCACUGAUACCAAAGAUUUAUCGCUGAAAGAUGGCCUCGCGUCUGAUUAGCUAGUUGGUGAGGUAACGGCCCACCAAGGCGACGAUCAGUAGCCGGACUGAGAGGUUGACCGGCCACAUUGGGACUGAGAUACGGCCCAGACUCCUACGGGAGGCAGCAGUGGGGAAUAUUGGGCAAUGGACGCAAGUCUGACCCAGCAACGCCGCGUGAAGGAAGAAGGCUUUCGGGUUGUAAACUUCUUUUAAGGGGGAAGAGCAGAAGACGGUACCCCUUGAAUAAGCCACGGCUAACUACGUGCCAGCAGCCGCGGUAAUACGUAGGUGGCAAGCGUUGUCCGGAUUUACUGGGUGUAAAGGGCGUGCAGCCGGGAAGACAAGUCAGAUGUGAAAUCCCGCGGCUCAACCGCGGAACUGCAUUUGAAACUGUUUUUCUUGAGUAUCGGAGAGGUAAUCGGAAUUCCUAGUGUAGCGGUGAAAUGCGUAGAUAUUANGAAGAACACCAGUGGCGAAGGCGGAUUACUGGACGACAACUGACGGGGAGGCGCGAAAGCGUGGGGAGCAAACAGGAUUAAAUACCCUGUUAGUCCACGCUG